Molecule: ribosomal RNA, 433 nt
Filed under: uncultured bacterium
Lineage: Bacteria
Description: partial 16S ribosomal RNA
Rfam family: Bacterial small subunit ribosomal RNA
Source: RNAcentral
AACGAACGCUGGCGGCAUGCCUAACACAUGCAAGUCGAACGAGACCUUCGGGUCUAGUGGCGCACGGGUGCGUGACGCGUGGGAACCUGCCCUUAGGUUCGGAAUAACUCCCCGAAAGGGGUGCUAAUACCGGAUAAUGUCCUCGGACCAAAGAUUUAUCGCCUUUGGAUGGGCCCGCGUUGGAUUAGCUAGGUGGUAGGGUAAAAGCCUACCAAGGCGACGAUCCAUAGCUGGUCUGAGAGGAUGAUCAGCCACACUGGGACUGAGACACGGCCCAGACUCCUACGGGAGGCAGCAGUGGGGAAUAUUGGACAAUGGGCGAAAGCCUGAUCCAGCAAUGCCGCGUGAGUGAUGAUGGCCGUAGGGUUGUAAAGCUCUUUUACCCGGGAUGAUAAUGACAGUACCGGAAGAAUAAGCUCCGGCUAACUCCGUG